GAUGAAGAACGUAGCGAAAUGCGAUAAGUAAUGUGAAUUGCAGAAUUCAGUGAAUCAUCGAAUCUUUGAACGCACAUUGCGCCCGCCAGUAUUCUGGCGGGCAUGCCUGUUCGAGCGUCAUUUCAACCAUCAAGCCCCCGGCUUGUGUUGGGGACCUGCGGCUGCCGCAGGCCCUGAAAAGCAGUGGCGGGCUCGCUGUCACACCGAGCGUAGUAGCAUACAUCUCGCUCUGGGCGUGCUGCGGGUUCCGGCCGUUAAACCACCUUCAUAACCCAAGGUUGACCUCGGAUCAGGUAGGUAGACCCGCUGAACUUAAGCAUAUCAAUAAGCGGAGGA
Molecule: unclassified non-coding RNA, 336 nt
Filed under: soil metagenome
Description: partial contains 5.8S ribosomal RNA, internal transcribed spacer 2, and large subunit ribosomal RNA
Rfam family: 5.8S ribosomal RNA (bases 1-120)
Source: RNAcentral